Molecule: long non-coding RNA, 208 nt
Filed under: Mytilus galloprovincialis (Mediterranean mussel)
Lineage: Eukaryota; Metazoa; Mollusca; Bivalvia; Mytilida; Mytilidae
Source: RNAcentral
AUUGAUUGGAUGUUCUUUUCUUCUGCUACCACAUUCUUUUCUAUGUGUUUCAAAGCGAGGAAGGCUUGCAGUUCUGAAGCGUACUGUUUUAUAUAAGCAAUGUUUGUUUUGUGUUCUGUGUUCUCUUUAUCCUUGUCUAAUAAUGAUUUCAGUAGCCGUCGGAUUUUGUUACUUUCUUCUUCUUCUCUCGUUUUUAAAUCUUUCAAUA